This 271-nucleotide long non-coding RNA is filed under the name Medicago truncatula (barrel medic). RNAcentral's name for it is "lncRNA gene38077". The record is from RNAcentral. Lineage: Eukaryota; Viridiplantae; Streptophyta; Magnoliopsida; Fabales; Fabaceae.
CUAUUAAAGGCAUAUACAUGUAUUUGAAUGUGACAAACACCAUACAACUGAAGGUAAAGCACAUAUCUUACUUGCACAAUCAGCGAUAGAAGUGCAAUUAGUAGCUGUGAUGUAAACAAAUAAUAAAAUAAUGUCAUUGAGAUGAUAAAAAAAUUGUGUGUAAGGUAAAACAAUUAAAUUUAUAAAGCAUGAUAAAAUGAUAUUACUAUUAGCUUCGGUCAAAACAAGAAAUAGGAAAUGAACGAAAAUCAUAAAAUAAACAAAGUUGAGA